Molecule: ribosomal RNA, 468 nt
Filed under: uncultured bacterium
Lineage: Bacteria
Description: partial 16S ribosomal RNA
Rfam family: Bacterial small subunit ribosomal RNA
Source: RNAcentral
GACGAACGCUGGCAGCGUGCUUAACACAUGCAAGUCGAACGGAAAGGCCCUGCUUUUGUGGGGUGCUCGAGUGGCGAACGGGUGAGUAACACGUGAGUAACCUGCCCUUGACUUUGGGAUAACUUCAGGAAACUGGGGCUAAUACCGGAUAGGAGCUCCUGCUGCAUGGUGGGGGUUGGAAAGUUUCGGCGGUUGGGGAUGGACUCGCGGCUUAUCAGCUUGUUGGUGGGGUAGUGGCUUACCAAGGCUUUGACGGGUAGCCGGCCUGAGAGGGUGACCGGCCACAUUGGGACUGAGAUACGGCCCAGACCCCUACGGGAGGCAGCAGUGGGGAAUAUUGCACAAUGGGCGGAAGCCUGAUGCAGCAACGCCGCGUGCGGGAUGACGGCCUUCGGGUUGUAAACCGCUUUCGCCUGUGACGAAGCGUGAGUGACGGUAAUGGGUAAAGAAGCACCGGCUAACUACGUG